UACAGAGGUCUCAAGCGUUGUUCGGAUUCAUUGGGCGUAAAGGGUGCGUAGGUGGUGUCGUAAGUCGGAUGUGAAAUCCCGGGGCUUAACUUCGGAACUGCAUUCGAUACUGCGAUACUCGAGGACUCGAGAGGAGAUUGGAAUUCACGGUGUAGCAGUGAAAUGCGUAGAUAUCGUGAGGAAGACCAGUGGCGAAGGCGGAUCUCUGGAGAGUUCCUGACGCUGAGGCACGAAGGCCAGGGGAGCAAACGGG
Molecule: ribosomal RNA, 253 nt
Filed under: uncultured bacterium
Lineage: Bacteria
Description: partial 16S ribosomal RNA
Rfam family: Bacterial small subunit ribosomal RNA
Source: RNAcentral